GCGCCCGUAGCUCAGCUGGAUAGAGCGUCUGACUACGAAUCAGAAGGUCGGGUGUUCGAAUCACCCCGGGCGUACCA
Molecule: transfer RNA, 77 nt
Filed under: Acidobacteriota bacterium
Lineage: Bacteria; Pseudomonadati; Acidobacteriota
Also listed under: 2 other names
Description: tRNA-Arg
Rfam family: tRNA
About the family: Transfer RNA (tRNA) molecules are approximately 80 nucleotides in length.
Source: RNAcentral